GAUGAACGCUGGCGGCGUGCCUAAUACAUGCAAGUCGAGCGAACAGAUGAGGAGCUUGCUCCUCUGACGUUAGCGGCGGACGGGUGAGUAACACGUGGAUAACCUACCUAUAAGACUGGGAUAACUUCGGGAAACCGGAGCUAAUACCGGAUAAUAUAUUGAACCGCAUGGUUCAAUAGUGAAAGACGGUUUUGCUGUCACUUAUAGAUGGAUCCGCGCCGCAUUAGCUAGUUGGUAAGGUAACGGCUUACCAAGGCAACGAUGCGUAGCCGACCUGAGAGGGUGAUCGGACACACUGGAACUGAGACACGGUCCAGACUCCUACGGGAGGCAGCAGUAGGGAAUCUUCUGCAAUGGGCGAAAGCUUGACGGAGCAACGCCGCGUGAGUGAUGAAGGUCUUCGGAUCGUAAAACUCUGUUAUUAGGGAAGAACAAAUGUGUAAGUAACUAUGCACGUCUUGACGGUACCUAAUCAGAAAGCCACGGCUAACUACGUG
This 497-nucleotide ribosomal RNA is filed under the name uncultured bacterium. Its description in RNAcentral is "partial 16S ribosomal RNA". It matches the Rfam family "Bacterial small subunit ribosomal RNA", at positions 28 to 507 of the family's 1533-position model. The record is from RNAcentral.